AUAUAUUAUUUUCAAGAAUAAUAAAAUUAAUUUAUAUUCGAGUCAAAUCAAUUAUAACAUUCUUUGAGAUCAUAUAUCAUCACAAUAAUUGCUCCAUAAAUAACUUCAAUUAUAAAUAAUUUUCUACAAUUAACUUUCAUCAUAAAUAAUUUUCAAUAAUUAUUUCAAUAAAUAAUUACAAUCGCAAGCAUGCAUAAAUUUAUUUAAUUCAUAAUUUACCAGAUAAAUUCAGUAAAAGUAAACACUACUUACCUCAAAAGAAAAUCCAAACUAGAAAUUCUAGGGAUCUCGAAAAUCCUUCUCUGAACCUG
This 311-nucleotide long non-coding RNA is filed under the name Elaeis guineensis (African oil palm). RNAcentral describes it as "long non-coding RNA (EGUI_LNC020212)". Lineage: Eukaryota; Viridiplantae; Streptophyta; Magnoliopsida; Arecales; Arecaceae. The record is from RNAcentral.